RNAcentral lists this long non-coding RNA (602 nucleotides) under Heterocephalus glaber (naked mole-rat). Its description in RNAcentral is "lncRNA (ENSHGLG00000035262.1)". The record is from RNAcentral. Lineage: Eukaryota; Metazoa; Chordata; Mammalia; Rodentia; Bathyergidae.
CAAAAUAAAAGCAGAAGCCCCGCUGUUUAGAGAGUCCAGGCAACCACCAGUCCAUCUGCCUCAACAACCAGGCCACUCAAAAGCCUCAUUUCAAGGGCAAAACAUCAGAAAGGAGGAGCAAUGCAAAAGGCAAAAAGGCUGACACAGAGCAUCCAAGGUCUCACAAGAACAAAAUUGAGAAACAGAUUCACUCCCCUAAACUACCUAUGAGAAACAAUGGUCACUUUGGGAAAGAGGAAAGAGUUCCAGCUGCUGCAUUCCCAGAUUUUCUGCAAUGAGAAUACAACUUCUUUGAAAUUUUAAGUUUUUAAAGAAGAUCAUCCACAGUAACCCAUCUUAGCAAAAACCUCACCAGUCAUGCACAAAUUGAGUAAAUCAGAAGCAAUACUGUGUUCAAACUUGACUGAGUUUGAGUAAAUUUGUUAAUUCUUCUGAGCCACAUACUAGCUCUCCAUUGAUGACUCAAGUUCUGGGAAAUAAAGAAGACCCUCAAUAUUAUGCAACCCUUCAAACUUGACAGUGGAAAACAGCCACCUGGUACUUUUAGUUCAUUUGAGACUGAGGGAGACCCUCUGUCUACUCUGUUUUGACCCUGCCUGCAG